CCAAGGGAGCGGACGGGCGGGGAGGAGGUGGCCUCUGCGCAGGCGCAGAGAGGAGCGAGCGACUCCUGCGCAAGCGCAGAGUGAAGGGCCGGGAACAGUGGAGGGUGCGAGGAAGACAAUGGGGGAGGACCCUGAGGCGGCCUCUGUGAGCCGACAGGAACACGUGGUCGAUCAGAGAGAGACUCGAGGUUCGUGAACGGAUGGGGAGGACCCUGAAAAGCACUGUGGAAUACAGGUUUCUAGUAACUUCAAAAUCACAUCAUUUGGACUGGGUAAAGAGCUUUUUAUGGUUCACUGAGGACAAUCAACCCCUUCACAAUCUAGAACCCAAAGAUGGGAUCUUCUGAGAACAUCAGAGAAACGCUGCCCUUGGCAUCAUCACUGCAACAAAACAUCAGGAUCUUGAACCUUGGGGUCAUAAUCUCACAACUGAGCAGGGUCACUCUUGGAACUCUACAUCCAUUGAAACCCUUAAGGUAAAGCUAAUCAGGGAAGUUUCUCCCCAGAAGAAGAUGGCAUCCUUGAUGUGAGCAGCUCUUUCUGAAGAUCAUGGAUCAAGACUUCUUACUAUCAUGAGACUCUUAUCUUUGAAUGUUUUUCCGUUGCUUCCGCCUCUGUGAACAACAGAAGUGAGAAGGGGGUCUGUUUUGUGCACUUAUGGGGUAUACUUUUAUUUGUGAAGGGCUUUGCAGCCAGCUUUAUACAUGGAUAAUCUUAUAACUUGAUAGAUAAAGAUGAAGGCCCAGUGUAUCAUAGGUGAGAAACUUCAAUGGUACAUAUGGUGCCUCAUAAUCAUUCAGAAGCAGAACAUUGGUUCACUCCUCUUAACCCACAGCAUGGGUUAAAGAGACCAUUGCCAAGAGGCCUUCCCUCUUCUAGAAGGGCAUCAUUUGUUAGGUCCUUUUUCCAUGGUUUGGAAUUAAAAAGGCAAUGACUAGAAACAUAUCCCUCAUGGUAGACUCUGUAGCAGAUUCUACUGUAAAGGCUACACAACAGAUGUUAAAUUCUCUUGUGAAAGUUAUGCUAAAAAAUAGAAUUGGCUAAACAGGAAAGUACCUGUGCAGAUGCUGGCACUUAAGGCCUAUGGAGAAAACAUCAGGUGUUAUAGAGAGUCUGUUGUAGGGAAUUAACGAAAAGACCACUGAGUUAAGUCAAAGAAUGGUCUAUUUGAGUUUAGGUGGUCUGGUUUAUGGGGACCCUGGCUAAGGAGCAUACUCCAAAUUCUUGGUGUUAACCCUCUCAGUAGUCAUAAGAAUAGUCUCCCUGGUGCACUGUAUUCUCUCAAAGGUUUUAAAUGUUUGCAUGAAGCCAUCUUUAGAACGUCAGAUGGUCUCUCUUCAACUGGAAUGACAAGAGCUGAAAGAAAUGUGUGACCACGAGGACACCGAAACCGAUGAGUGACAUGCUGAGACUGGAAAUCCAAAAUGAUAGUAACGGAGAGUGGCGCUAACAUCCUAAGUUUUGGUCACACUCUUGCCUAAGUGACAACCUGACAAAGGGGGAAUUUUUUAAACAAAAUGAUGGGAGGCCAUUGUUUUGGACUGAGCACUAGGUCCCAACAGACCAAACCGAACCAAAAUGGCAUCAUUCGUGCUAAAUGUGACAUAAUCGAAUUAAGACUUUAAGGAAACACAUGGGUCCUAGAAUAGACCAGGUUUUGUUUUUCUCUUGCAAACAGGACUUUCCAGCAUAAGGUGGUAUCCUCAACUCAGUCCUUGUUCCUACCUUUGCAAAACUCACUGUUCUGCUUCCUAGUGGGUUUCAAGACCAAUGGUGACAGUGACAUCAAUAACUCAAGUUUCGAUCAAUCUCUCAAAACUGAUAAAAUGACCAAAAAGGGGGAAUUGUUAAAGCGAACUAAAUAUGGCCUGAGAAGGACUCCGUACUUCUGUAUUGGAGUCCCUGUGAACAAACUGAGCCUAACUUAAUAGGUAGACAAGAUUGAAAACCUAAAUUAGGAGUAUGUACCUGUCACAAUUGCUGAGUCUCGGCCAGUCCCAGCAGCCGUACUUCAAUCACUCAUACACUGCUGAAUGUUCAAACUGUGUGUAAAUAAGGCAAAUGCCAACCUGUAACUAAUCCAGGUGUUUCUCUACCUCACUUCCCUUUUUUUGUCUAUAAAUCUUCCACCACGUGGCUGCACUGGAGUCUCUCUGAAUCUGCUGUAAUUCUGGGGGCUGCCCGAUGUGCAAAUCAUUCAUUGCUCAAUUAAACUCCUUUAAAUUUAAUUCAGCUGAAGUUUUCUUUUAACAAGAGUGAGAUAAGAAUCUGUGUUCUUAUCCCCCAGAAUGGACAAAUCAGUAGCGUUCCUUGUCAUUCUUUUGUGGCUGGUUUCACGUAAAUAUUUUGUGUGUAUGAUAAUAGAAUUUGAUUUUAAUGAAUAUACUUUAAAAGCAACUUUUUUUUUAUUCUUCCUCACCAUCGAAGAUGGAGAAAAAUAAGAAGGGCUGUCUUGCGGUUCCAUUUCUUUUGUGGAUAGUAAGAAGCGCUGUCUUCUGGUUCCGUUUUUUUUUUCUGGAUAGUAAGGAUGUUUAUCUUACUCUGUCUUCAUUGUCCUCAAACCUCAAGUAGUCACUAAUACCCUGGCUAUGACAGCUUUUAUCGUAGUGUUAAAUGGCAGAUUUAUUUACUUGGCAAACAUUGUCAAGUCUCAGAAAAAUUACCCCAUGGUCUUGCCUUCUUCCCUCGUGAAUUGCCUUCCACUGAUGGAGAGGAUUUGAUCUGUUCCCUGCUCAUCAAUUUUUCUAGCUUCUUUGGGAUGUCCGCUCUGCAUAUCUACUAAGGAAUUAAGAAAUAAUGGCUUCAGCAAGAAACAAGGCAGGAAAGUGCAGUGACAUGAGGACCAUACAGGGAAGGAGCUGUCCCCAAAGCAGGGUCUUUGUGACUUGUACCUUGUGCGGACCUCCUACUCAUCCUGUGACUAAGAACACUGAACUUCCUGGGGUUACAGCCCACAGGUCUCAGCCUCAUUUCAUCCAGCCCCUAUUCAAGAUGGAGUCGCUCUGGUUCAAAUGCCUCUGACACUAGUAAGGAUCACAGGUGGCAUCAACAGGUUUGGAGCAAACCUGAGUGUCUCCCGGUUGGUCACAUCUCAACUGACGAAAUCCACGACCAGCAGAGAGCAGCCUCCUUGCCCCCUGUGCUCACUGAGUCAUCCAGCCCAUUUUGACCAAGAUUAUGUGAGUUGCUGGAGCAGAGGUUGGUUGAGGGAGCUCCCACUGUAUGUAAUCACCGUG
Molecule: long non-coding RNA, 3236 nt
Filed under: Homo sapiens (human)
Lineage: Eukaryota; Metazoa; Chordata; Mammalia; Primates; Hominidae
Description: HSALNT0117486
Source: RNAcentral